GACGAACGCUGGCGGCGUGCUUAACACAUGCAAGUCGAACGGAAAGUUCCUGCUUUUGUGGGGUGCUCGAGUGGCGAACGGGUGAGUAACACGUGAGUAACCUGCCCUUGACUUUGGGAUAACUUCAUGAAACUGGGGCUAAUACCGGAUAGGAGCUCCUGCUGCAUGGUGGGGGUUGGAAAGUUUCGGCGGUUGGGGAUGGACUCGCGGCUUAUCAGCUUGUUGGUGGGGUAGUGGCUUACCAAGGCUUUGACGGGUAGCCGGCCUGAGAGGGUGACCGGCCACAUUGGGACUGAGAUACGGCACAGACUCCUACGCGAGGCAGCAGUGGGGAAUAGUGCACAAUGGGAGGAAGCCUGAUGCAGCAAAGCCGCGUGUGGGAUGACGGCCUUCGGGUUGUAAACCGCUUUCGCCUGUGACGAAGCGUGAGUGACGGUAAUGGGUAAAGAAGCACCGGCUAACUACGUG
This 468-nucleotide ribosomal RNA is filed under the name uncultured bacterium. Its description in RNAcentral is "partial 16S ribosomal RNA". It matches the Rfam family "Bacterial small subunit ribosomal RNA", at positions 28 to 507 of the family's 1533-position model. The record is from RNAcentral.